UACCGGCUCAAGUUACGAGAUAUCAAACAAACACAUAGUACAGCACAGAAGCAGAUGACAUAACAUAGAUACUGCAGCCAUAAGGAAUAUAAAACAGAGUAAAGCAGGGAUGCAGGAAUAUAAAGCAGAGGAAAGCACACAGAUUCGUAACAAACAUAGAACACGGAACACGGAACAGAACAUUGAAUACGGAAUCAUACCAGGAAUACACCCCCACCAAUUACCUCCCUACAUUAGCGACCCGAACAGGCCCUAAUCCUCUGCCGUAAUUCGCGUCUUCCAGACCUUCCUAUCUAGGGUCAUGUCCUCGGUAAGCUGUAACUGUUCCAUGUCCCGCCUAAUCACCUCACCCC
Molecule: long non-coding RNA, 353 nt
Filed under: Capsicum annuum
Lineage: Eukaryota; Viridiplantae; Streptophyta; Magnoliopsida; Solanales; Solanaceae
Description: long non-coding RNA (CANN_LNC001914)
Source: RNAcentral